GCCAACGUCCAUACCACGUUGAAUACACCGGUUCUCGUCCGAUCACUGAAGUUAAGCAACAUCGGGCGCGGUCAGUACUUGGAUGGGUGACCGCCUGGGAACACCGCGUGACGUUGGCU
RNAcentral lists this ribosomal RNA (119 nucleotides) under Helicoverpa zea (corn earworm). Lineage: Eukaryota; Metazoa; Arthropoda; Insecta; Lepidoptera; Noctuidae. The record is from RNAcentral.